Molecule: long non-coding RNA, 2463 nt
Organism: Equus caballus (horse)
Lineage: Eukaryota; Metazoa; Chordata; Mammalia; Perissodactyla; Equidae
Source: Ensembl
AAGAAAGUAGGAAUUUUAUUUUUGCACAGCGCUGAGCAAGGAGAGAGGGCAGCUAACGCUCAAAUCCCAAACUCCCCGAAAAGCUAAAAGGAAGGGUUUUUAUUUGGGGUUUUAGGGAGGGGAGGGGGAGCGUAUGGCCUUGCUGGUCGGAGCUUUCCCACCAGCCUGUCUUUGGUCUUGAGACUACUUGCAGAGAGAGGGAACUCAUGACCUUGCUGGUCAGCAGCUUUCCCACCAGCCCAUAUCUCUUUGCGGGAGGAGAUAGUCCAGGUGCUUGUCCUUGAUGGUGUCUGUCUCCAUGGAGGAUAGUGGAUUCUGGAGCCAGGAAGCCAGAGAUUUUCAUACAGGCUCGGGGUUUUAAAACUUUGAAAUCAAGGACGUCUGCAGUCUACCUCUGAAAGAUUAGCAGAAACACAGCAUAUAGCACCAUCAUUCGUGAAGAUUCUCUAAGAUGAACCCAUCUGAUUCUCUUUGUUCUGCUGCUAUUUGGCAUUUACGGACUCUUAAAAAACCCAUUUUUAUCUGUUCGCUUCCGGACAACAACAGGGCUUGAUUCUGCAGUUGAUCCUGUCCAGAUGAAAAAUGUCACCUUUGAACAUGUUAAAGGAAUUGUCUUGUAACUUAAAGACGUGUCGCUAUUGAACGUGUUCGAGCAGAGGCUGGACAUCGUCUUUGAGGAAGGUUUUGGGAGAAAUUCUUCCUGCAGGAGGGGCUUGAAAGCCAUGACUUUGAGGACUCUUCCAACUCUGAAGAGGCUGGUUAGUUGAAGUAGCUGUGAACCCUGCUGGGAUUGUGAAAAGGGAGCAGUAGAGGAAGAGGCUGGUGCAGUGACUAUUUGAAAGCUAGACACAUCAGUGCGGAGGGCCCUUCUCGUUCUGUCUGAGGGCUGCAGUCAGAGAGCCUGCUUACGUUGAGCUUGCACUAAGGCCGUGGUCAGCGAGGCGUCCUUACUCUCUCCCUGCGGUGUAUGUACUUCAUUACUCAGUACACCACAUUUCUUUUCGGAUGAGGCCAUUUGGAGUGCAAAAUUAGAGAAGAUGUGUUGACACCCAAACGUUAGGAAACGGGGACAUCACAAGGUGGAUCCUCACACAGUUUCCCGUGAUAAUAUGAAUAAAUGUUAUAAUUGCUGUAAAAUCUAAGUUUAUGUGGAGCAAAGUAUUUCAGUAGCAUUUACCAUAAUAGUAUGCCGUCUUUCACCAGGUCUUAAAGAGCUUGUGUAAGAAUGUUAUUUCCUUGCCCAGAAUUCCUGAACAUGUAGGGUUACUUGUAUAUGGAGCCACUGUGGAAACAUUCAUAAGGGCGUUGAUAACUUCACUCACUGCCUUGAUCCUCGUAACCCUACUCUCCUCCAUAGGUUUUAUAUUCCUUAACUGGGAAUUCUCUUGCCACAGAGGUUGGGAAGAGAAAAUGUAUUUUGAAUGGUCGAUGAUGUUUAAUUUCUUUCCUGUUUUCGUCCAAUUUUAAGUUAUCCAUUACCUUGACCAAAUGUAUGUUGGUUUUCUUUUAGUGUAUGGAUCUCUUCAAAUAUUAAAAAAAUUUUUUUGAUAAUCUGUUCAACUCUUUUUUUACACAUAAAUUUUACUGAAGCUUAACAGUCACACAAAAAUGCACACAUCGUAAAUGUACACCUCAAUAAAUUUUCGCACACGGCUUUGAACACAUCUAUGUUGUCAGCACCCAGCUCAGGAAACAGAACGCCAGGGCCUGCCUAGUGCCUCUUUCCAGUCACCAUCUCUCCCCACCCCAAGGGUGAGCACUGUCCUGUCUAAUACCGUAGGUUAGUUUGGGCGGUUUUUGAAUUUUAUAUAAAUGUGACGCAUGUAGUAUGUACGAUUUCUUUCGUCAACGUAUUUGUGAGAUCCAUCCGUGUUGUUACAUGGAGCGGUAGUUCAUUCAUCCUCAUUGCAUAGUGUUCUAUUCCACGAACACCACGAUACUGUGUGUUUAUUCCACAUUAGGUAGACAUGUGGUUGUGUCUAGUUUUAGCUAAAAUGGUCCUGCUGUGAAUGUUGUUGUACAGAUCUCUUGGUGAGCGUAUGAACACACUUCUCUUGUGCCUGGGAGUGGACAAAGCUUUGCUUUUAACCAUUAACUUUAUAAACAUUUUUAGUAAAUUUUAAUAAUUUAAUCAGAAUAACUUUAAAGACCAUUUCAAGACUAAAAAAACACCUACUUACUCUGUAUCACUUGUAUAUUUCCUGGAAAUAGUCCUGGGAAAUUUUCUAGAAAUCUAAGAUAGUCACGAGUUUAAUUUUAGAUUAUCAGAAUGCCCUUUGGCCCAGAGAUCUGUUUCAUGUUUUACUACACUCCUUCCCAGGUAGUUUUUUUAACCCUGCCCGAUGUACUUCAGGUCAUUUUUGUCACUUAGAGCUAUUUAAAGUUGUCUAUUGUGAGGUUGCACAUUGACUGCCAGUGAGCUAAGUGGAUUAACAAAUGUAUUAUUGGCCUAAUGUAACUUAA